CGGGCCAUAGUAUAAUGGUAGUACGCGAAGCUGGGGGCUUUGUAGCGGAGGUUCAAUUCCUCCUGGCCCGA
RNAcentral lists this transfer RNA (71 nucleotides) under bacterium. RNAcentral's name for it is "tRNA-Pro". It matches the Rfam family "tRNA". From Rfam's summary of the family: Transfer RNA (tRNA) molecules are approximately 80 nucleotides in length. Their secondary structure includes four short double-helical elements and three loops (D, anti-codon, and T loops). The record is from RNAcentral.